RNAcentral lists this transfer RNA (56 nucleotides) under Ictidomys tridecemlineatus (thirteen-lined ground squirrel). RNAcentral's name for it is "Spermophilus tridecemlineatus (thirteen-lined ground squirrel) tRNA". Lineage: Eukaryota; Metazoa; Chordata; Mammalia; Rodentia; Sciuridae. The record is from Rfam by way of RNAcentral.
AGGAUUGUAGCUCAAUGGUAGAGCACUCACCUAGCACGUGUGAGGGUUCGAUCCUC